Long non-coding RNA from Helianthus annuus (common sunflower), 570 nucleotides. RefSeq lists it as uncharacterized. NCBI's taxonomy places the organism in Eukaryota, Viridiplantae, Streptophyta, Magnoliopsida, Asterales, Asteraceae. The transcript is spliced from 2 exons. The record is from RefSeq and is a predicted model, not a curated record.
UCUCAAGAAAUUCGCAGAUUCCUAUAUCAUUGUACUGUUGUAUGUAGAUGAUAUGUCGAUAGCAGGGUCAGACAUGUCACAUAUUAAUAAGCUGAAGCAACAGAUUUCUGAAGAAUUUGAAAUGAAAGAUUUAGGUCCUGCCAAGUAAAUUCUUCGCAUGAGCAUCAUGAGGGAGAUACUUCUGAGAUUGAGCUAACUACACACUCGCAAAAGACAAGUUCAUAACCACCUUUUCACGAGGCUCUUGAAGAUUUUGUUGCCCAACACAUCAAAUUCCGAGGAUCCAAUGAAAGAUGGUGAUGAUUUAAGAUCUCAGAGUUGUAUACAAAUGGACGAAGAGAAAUAGUAGCAGACACAUUUGCACAACCACAUUCAACAAUUUGUAUUAUUUAUGUACGCAAAUAAUUAGUUAAAUUUCAGCUAAAGAGAGGUCAAAAGGAGGGUGCCAUUGCAAGUAGUCUCUCUCUGUUUUUGAAACUUGAACUUGAUCUAAAGUACUUUCAAGUCCCAACUAAGGUCGUUUUGAUUUAUUGUUAUUUAUUAGGAGUAAUGUAUUCAAAUCUCAACUAU